AGCAAAUAAGCUUUUUAAUAAUAAUACUGUAUUAAUGUAUAACAGUGUAUAUAUCUGCAAACAGCCUGAGAAUUUUUGUGGUAAUCAAAAUUCUUAAAGUUUGCUAAGUUAUAUAGUCAUAUUUUAUCUUAAUAUUAAAAAGACUAAGCUAAGUGUUAACAACUAUGUAACCUUCUGCAUUUGCUUUUAAACUUUCUUAUUAUUCUGGUUAAAUAAUAAGUGUUAUUUAAUAACUAUAAUUCUAUUUAGGCAAGUGCCUUAAAAACUUUUGACAACUUCCCAAGACCAAAUUUAAAAAGGUAUUUUUACCUCUAAUUAACUCUGAUAUUUUCCAGAGGGCCCCCUGGAACAUAUCAGUAGAAUUUCUUCUCCUCAUCAAAGAAAAUAUUUGACUAAUUUGGCUUAUUUACCUGAUAUAUAUUUACCUGGAAAGCACUGUCAAAAGGAAUAAUGCUAAACUUUAUUACUGAAUCUUUCAUGUUACAUAAAUAUCACUCUUCCUCCUAAGAUGCUUACUCCUGAUGCCCAAUUAAAUUUACCUGUUAGUACUACUAUCAUUACUGUGUAUGUAUUAAUUGUACUCAUGUAGCCUCUUAUUGUAAUUCUACAAUCAAUGUAAAAUGGUCUUCUGGAUAUAGACUUUCAAAUGUUUGGGUAUUUUUGUGUGAUAAUGAAACAUAUUAAGCCCUUUCUCAACACUAUCAAGGUGUUUGUGGGGUGAGACGCAUUCUUCCUGCUCUAAUAGACCAUCCUGGAUAUAAGCGCAAGAGACCUCUCCGAGCUCUGCCAUCUGAUUGUGAUGAAAACUUGAAACUUUGAGAUCCUGCCGCUGUCGCAGUUGCAGCUACGUUCCUCCUGCCAAUUCCUGGACUUGUCGUUGAAAUGCAGAAAGAGAUAUCUAAGCUGGCCUGUGCAUAUAGCAAAACAACAAAUUUGACUGCUUCUGUAUUAUCUGAACUCAACCAAGAACUGGGAGAAGUGCGAGCUGCAGUGCUUCAGAAUUGUGCUACUAUAGAGUAUCUACUGUUAAAAGAACAUGUAGGAUGUGAACAGUUUCCAAGAAUGUGUUGUUUCAAUUUGUCUGAUUUUUCUCAAACUACCCAAAAUCAAUUAGAUGAUAUCCAUCAUAUUGUCAAUAAGUUUUUACAAAUGCCUAAGCUAUCUAACUAGUUUUCUUAAUUUCAUUAGAUAUAACUAGUAAUUGUAAGUCUGCCUUUGUUAUGUAUCUGUAUUCCUAUUCUGUUAAUGUGUGAUGCAAUUUAACUAGUAGUUUGUUAAAACCUAUAUAUAUUCAAGUUAUGUCUGUCUUUCGACAUGUUCGAUCUCAGCCAUGUAAUGCAUAUUUCCCACAAAACUGGGAUGCCAUAUAAUCCACAAGGCCAAAGCAUUGUAGAACGUGCCCAUGGCACCCUUAAAGCUCAAUUGGAAAAAACAAAAAAGGGGGGAGUUAUACCCCUGGUCACCCCAGAACCAUUUAAAUCAUAUCUUAUUUGCAGCCAAAACUGCAUCUGAUAUAUUAAAUCAUAUAAAAGACAUGUUCAAAGAACCCCUGAAUAGUCUCUGGCACAGUCACACCUCCCUUAACCCUAAGCAUUUUAUGUCUUCUAUUGCUGUUACUAGGGCCUUGUGUCCUUUGCACAGCAUGUGGAAACUAAUCCAACAAGCCUUAAGAGGCCUGCAUCAUUUGAAAUUGCAGACGGCCCCCCCCACUUGUAAAUCAUAAGAUCUAAAGUCAAGUAUGGUAGCCAAUGACGGGUAAGAUAUGGUUGAGUUGUAAAUACCAACCUAAGACAGGGAGUGGUCGACAGAGGACUAUGGCCCCAUGACGGGUAAGGAUUUACUUCAACCAUACAACCUAAGACAGGCACAUACCUUGACCCAGUCUGAGUUGGGCUGGUU
Long non-coding RNA from Manis pentadactyla (Chinese pangolin), 1899 nucleotides. RefSeq lists it as uncharacterized. NCBI's taxonomy places the organism in Eukaryota, Metazoa, Chordata, Mammalia, Pholidota, Manidae. The transcript is spliced from 2 exons. The record is from RefSeq and is a predicted model, not a curated record.